GUCUGCAACUCGACUACAUGAAGCUGGAAUCGCUAGUAAUCGCGGAUCAGAAUGUUGCGGUGAAUACGUUCCCGGGUCUUGUACACACCGCCCGUCACACCAUGGGAGUCGGAAAUGCCCGAAGUCUGUGACCCAACGAAAGAGGGAGCAGCCGAAGGCAGGUCUGAUAACUGGGGUGAAGUCGUAACAAGGUAAC
This 196-nucleotide ribosomal RNA is filed under the name uncultured bacterium. RNAcentral describes it as "partial 16S ribosomal RNA". It matches the Rfam family "Bacterial small subunit ribosomal RNA", at positions 1303 to 1500 of the family's 1533-position model. The record is from RNAcentral.